RNAcentral lists this ribosomal RNA (774 nucleotides) under uncultured Neocallimastigales. Its description in RNAcentral is "partial large subunit ribosomal RNA". It matches the Rfam family "Eukaryotic large subunit ribosomal RNA", at positions 23 to 643 of the family's 3401-position model. The record is from RNAcentral. Lineage: Eukaryota; Fungi; Neocallimastigomycota; Neocallimastigomycetes; Neocallimastigales.
AGAGAGAGACAUGCGCGCAUAUCAAUAAGCGGAGGAAAAGAAACUAACAAGGAUUCCCUUAGUAACGGCGAGUGAAGCGGGAAGAGCUCAAAUUUGAAAUCUUCAAGGUUCUACCUUGACGAAUUGUAGUUUAUAGAAGUGUUUUCUGUUAGUGGAGUGGCAAAAGUUCUUUGGAAUAGGACAUCAUAGAGGGUGAGAAUCCCGUAUUUGGUCAUUCCUCCUAGCGUUGUGAUACACUUUCAACGAGUCGGAUUGUUUGGGAAUGCAGUCCAAAAUGGGUGGUAAAUUUCAUCUAAAGCUAAAUAUUGGCGAGAGACCGAUAGCGAACAAGUACCGUGAGGGAAAGAUGAAAAGAACUUUGAAAAGAGAGUUAAACAGUACGUGAAAUUGUCAAAAGGGAAGCGUUUGACACCAGUGUUGUUUUUCCGAAAAUCAAUUACGAAUGUUUUGUUUUUGAGGAGUUAUGACUUCAUCGGCUUGCUCCUUUCUUUAUGAAACUUUCUUAAUGCACUUUUCGGUUAACAAGUCAACAUCAAUUUCUUUUGUUGUAAAAGGGUAUGAGGAAGGUGGCUUUCUUUUCGGAGAAAGUGUUUAUAGCCUUGUGCCUCUGCAAUCGGAGAGAUUGAGGUCUGCAGCGUAGAUCCUUCGGGGUUAGAUACAGUUUGUGCUAAGUUAUAGCUUUUCAUAGACAACUUGUUGACUAUGCUUAGUCUUGUAGCUUACUCGCUGACGCUAUUUUACCUACGCUUAGGAUGUUGAUAGUCACAGCGUGUA